ACGUGGCCGAUGAUACAGGAGAUGAUGUUGUACUGAGUCAAAUUCCGUCUCCUGUAUCGUUGAAGGUCUUGGUAUGACGCGGGGAGGUUUUAAUCGGUAGACGCCGGACCGAACUUCGGCUCGGGGCGGCGAAUCCGACACUGCCCGGGAUGGUUCCCCGGGCGUCUUUUGAAGAUUUCCUCCUCGUUAACA
This is a non-coding RNA of Trachymyrmex cornetzi, 192 nucleotides long. NCBI's taxonomy places the organism in Eukaryota, Metazoa, Arthropoda, Insecta, Hymenoptera, Formicidae. The record is from Rfam.